AUACGGAGGGUGCGAGCGUUAAUCGGAAUUACUGGGCGUAAAGCGUACGUAGGCGGUUUGCUAAGUCAGAUGUGAAAGCCCCGGGCUUAACCUGGGAACUGCAUUUGAUACUGGCAGACUAGAGUAUGAUAGAGGGGGGUAGAAUUCCUGGUGUAGCGGUGAAAUGCGUAGAUAUCAGGGGGAAUACCAGUGGCGAAGGCGGCCCCCUGGAUCAAUACUGACGCUGAGGUACGAAAGCGUGGGGAGCGAACAGGAUUAGAUACCCUAGUAGUCC
RNAcentral lists this ribosomal RNA (274 nucleotides) under uncultured bacterium. Its description in RNAcentral is "partial 16S ribosomal RNA". It matches the Rfam family "Bacterial small subunit ribosomal RNA", at positions 523 to 796 of the family's 1533-position model. The record is from RNAcentral.